UACGUAUGGGGCAAGCGUUAUCCGGAAUUAUUGGGCGUAAAGAGUGCGUAGGUGGUUACCUAAGCGCAAGGUUUAAUCUUGAGGCUCAACCUCAUUCUGCCUUGCGAACUGGGCUACUUGAGUGCAGGAGGGGAAAGCGGAAUUCCCAGUGUAGCGGUGAAAUGCGUAGAUAUUGGGAAGAACACCGGUGGCGAAGGCGGCUUUCUGGACUGUAACUGACACUGAGGCACGAAAGCGUGGGGAGCAAACAGGAUUAGAUACCCCUGUAGUCCCUGA
This 276-nucleotide ribosomal RNA is filed under the name uncultured prokaryote. RNAcentral describes it as "partial 16S ribosomal RNA". It matches the Rfam family "Bacterial small subunit ribosomal RNA", at positions 524 to 800 of the family's 1533-position model. The record is from RNAcentral.